GCCGCCGUAGCUCAGGGGCAGAGCGCACCAUUGGUAAUGGUGAGGCCGUAAGUUCGAUUCUUACCGGCGGCACCA
This 75-nucleotide transfer RNA is filed under the name Rhodospirillaceae bacterium. RNAcentral's name for it is "tRNA-Thr". It matches the Rfam family "tRNA". Rfam says of the family: Transfer RNA (tRNA) molecules are approximately 80 nucleotides in length. Their secondary structure includes four short double-helical elements and three loops (D, anti-codon, and T loops). The record is from RNAcentral. Lineage: Bacteria; Pseudomonadati; Pseudomonadota; Alphaproteobacteria; Rhodospirillales; Rhodospirillaceae.